This 306-nucleotide ribosomal RNA is filed under the name uncultured bacterium. RNAcentral describes it as "partial 16S ribosomal RNA". It matches the Rfam family "Bacterial small subunit ribosomal RNA", at positions 507 to 808 of the family's 1533-position model. The record is from RNAcentral.
GACAGCAGCCGCGCGGUAAUACGAAGGGUGCAAGCGUUACUCGGAAUUACUGGGCGUAAAGCGUGCGUAGGUGGUGGUUUAAGUCCGUUGUGAAAGCCCUGGGCUCAACCUGGGAAUUGCAGUGGAUACUGGGUCACUAGAGUGUGGUAGAGGAUAGUGGAAUUUCCGGUGUAGCAGUGAAAUGCGUAGAGAUCGGAAGGAACAUCUGUGGCGAAGGCAGCCCCCUGGGCCAAUACUGACGCUCAUGCACGAAAGCGUGGGGAGCAAACAGGAUUAGAUACCCCCGUAGUCCCUGUCUCUUAUACA